AAGGAGUGGCAUGUGAACA
This 19-nucleotide small nuclear RNA is filed under the name Arabidopsis thaliana (thale cress). RNAcentral's name for it is "snRNA_07193". Lineage: Eukaryota; Viridiplantae; Streptophyta; Magnoliopsida; Brassicales; Brassicaceae. The record is from RNAcentral.